GCCGGGACUUGAACCACCAACCUUGCGGUUCCCAGUGCCCCCUCUCCACCCCCGCGCGCCACGUCGCCCCCUUUUAUCCUUCCAGGAGACGUGAAGAAAAGAGCUCCCUGAUUUCGGUACGAAAUAAUAUAAAACAUUCAAGCUUACAUUUAAUUAUAUUAAUAAGACGGUUUUCCAACCAGAGAGCCAGUUGAGUGUCAACUGACAAAAUCCCAUCGAAUAAUCGCGUACUGGAAACUCCGAUUGGUUUUUUAUGCACACUAGAAGAACCUGAACCCUGUGAAUCUGAAUGCUGAGAUGGCGAGCUAAACCCGGAUCGUGGAUGCGGUGUGGCCGACCGUAUGAUCAGACCCAACCUGAUUCGUGUAUCGAGAAGACGUCAGACUCCAGUCCUGCCGCCAGGUAGACGGUAGGAAGAUGUACAAGUCCAGGAUGGAGGGCAGUCUUGUGGCAAUCAUUCUCUCUCCGUUGUAGUCUGUGGUCUUGUUUGGUGGCCAAUCCAAACCACACAGCGAUGGAAGAACAGAGAGUAGACAUGAUGGGAGAGUAGAAGAAGCAACCCCCGGUAUGAUGGUGUUGAAUGCAGAGCUAAAGUCCACAAACAAACAGAUCCCCCAACACCAGCUUCUCAAAGAGUUUCAUCACCAUAGGCGCAGGACGAUGGGCCUGUAGUCAUUUAAUCCUGUGAUGGUGGAUUCUUUGCACCCGGGAUGAUGGUGGAGCAUUCAAAGCACGAGGGGACUUCACACAGCUCGAGUGAUCGGUUGAAGAUCAGCGUGAAGAUGGGGCAAGCUCGUCAGCACAGAUUUUCAGGACAAUGGUGACACAUCAAAUAAUAAAAAGAAAGUAGUAUUAGUCAAACAA
Non-coding RNA from Gasterosteus aculeatus aculeatus (three-spined stickleback), 864 nucleotides. The record is from RefSeq and is a predicted model, not a curated record. NCBI's taxonomy places the organism in Eukaryota, Metazoa, Chordata, Actinopteri, Perciformes, Gasterosteidae.